UUGACCUCGGAUCAGGUAGGAAUACCCGCUGAACUUAAGCAUAUCAAGGGCCCGAAGGAA
This 60-nucleotide ribosomal RNA is filed under the name Diaporthe sp. LNDD001. RNAcentral describes it as "partial 28S ribosomal RNA". Lineage: Eukaryota; Fungi; Ascomycota; Sordariomycetes; Diaporthales; Diaporthaceae. The record is from RNAcentral.